UACAGAGGGGGCAAGCGUUGUUCGGAAUCACUGGGCUUAAAGGGCGCGUAGGCGGGCUUGCAAGUCAGGGGUGAAAGCCCACGGCUCAACCGUGGAAGUGCCUUUGAUACUGCGAGUCUUGAGGGAGGUAGGGGCGUGCGGAACUUCCGGUGGAGCGGUGAAAUGCGUAGAUAUCGGAAGGAACACCGGUGGCGAAAGCGGCGCGCUGGACCUCUACUGACGCUGAGGCGCGAAAGCCAGGGGAGCAAACGGG
RNAcentral lists this ribosomal RNA (253 nucleotides) under uncultured bacterium. Its description in RNAcentral is "partial 16S ribosomal RNA". It matches the Rfam family "Bacterial small subunit ribosomal RNA", at positions 524 to 776 of the family's 1533-position model. The record is from RNAcentral.